Long non-coding RNA from Amblyraja radiata (thorny skate), 135 nucleotides. RefSeq lists it as uncharacterized. NCBI's taxonomy places the organism in Eukaryota, Metazoa, Chordata, Chondrichthyes, Rajiformes, Rajidae. The transcript is spliced from 3 exons. The record is from RefSeq and is a predicted model, not a curated record.
CAUGGAUAGGACAGGUUUGGAGGGGUGUGGACCAAACGCGGGUAGGUGGGAAUAGAGUAGCUGGGACAUGUUGGCCAGUGUGGGCAAGAUGGGCUGAAUGGCCUGUUUCCACGCUGUAUCACUCUAUGACUCUCU